The sequence is a small nuclear RNA, 229 nucleotides long. Its record names the gene U2. It matches the Rfam family "U2 spliceosomal RNA". From Rfam's summary of the family: U2 is a small nuclear RNA (snRNA) component of the spliceosome (involved in pre-mRNA splicing). Complementary binding between U2 snRNA (in an area lying towards the 5' end but 3' to hairpin I) and the branchpoint sequence (BPS) of the intron results the bulging out of an unpaired adenosine, on the BPS, which initiates a nucleophilic attack at the intronic 5' splice site, thus starting the first of two transesterification reactions that mediate splicing. The record is from Ensembl.
AUUGCUUCUCGGCCUUUUGGCUAAGAUCAAGUGUAGGAACCCAAGGUUUUUGUUAUUGUUUUGUUUGUUUGUUUUUAAAGGCAGAGUUUCUCUGUGCUGUCCUAGAACUCGAUAUGUAGACCAGGCUGGCUUUGAACUCACAGAGACCCAACUGCUUUCUGGGAUCAAAGCUGCACACCACCACUACCCAGCUUAUUAUUGCUGGUUUUAUGUUUAUGGUUAAUGAAAC